UCGCUUCAGCAGCUCAUACACUAAACUGGGAUACAGAGAAGAUCAGCAUGGCCCCUGCCAGGGAGGACCCAAAGGAAGUUGUUUUAACACUGUUA
Molecule: small nuclear RNA, 95 nt
Filed under: Cavia aperea (Brazilian guinea pig)
Lineage: Eukaryota; Metazoa; Chordata; Mammalia; Rodentia; Caviidae
Source: RNAcentral